AUUUUAAGUGUGCUUUGUCAGUCAUAAAAUUAAAUGAAACUCGAAAGAGCUCAACCAGUGCAGGGGAGUUUUAGGUAGAACAAUAAAAAUAUUUUCAAAUUUCAGCUUAAGAAAAAAGUAGAUACUAUAUGCACGGUUUUCCUGUCAGGAACAUAUUCCUUAUUCUUAUUACAUUUCUCACCACUAGUAGGCCAUUUCAUCAUGAAAGCUUGUUUAUUACUUUAUCGUAUUUUUAAACAACACAUGUAUUUUCAAGAGAAGCAAGAGAGUCGGCGUGUCUACUGCCAUGUGGCUGGGAUCAGGCCUUUCCCCUCGACUUCGGCGACGUUGGACUCACUCUCCCUUCGUCUAUUUGCGUCACAAAAAUAUCGAAAAAUCCAAUAGUGAGCUCCAAAAGGAUACACGGCCUUUCAAACUCCAUUUCCCCAUAAAGCAUCCUGACACUAAGAAGGUUUCUGAGAUAUUCAAGGGGUUAAAAGUCUUUUUAGGCAUUUUGGCUUAAACCGGCCACUUUGGAGGAAAAUAUGACUCGCUACACAUUUAUGCUUGAGGAAACUGGGAAAAUCAGGUUGCUUUAAGGACGAAAAUCUGUGAAAAAUGUCAGUGAACUAAUUAAUAAGAUGAAAUACAUACCUAUCGGUUCUGCGAAAUCUACACAUUAGCAGAAUAAU
Molecule: long non-coding RNA, 671 nt
Organism: Drosophila kikkawai
Lineage: Eukaryota; Metazoa; Arthropoda; Insecta; Diptera; Drosophilidae
Source: RefSeq, a predicted model, not a curated record